UACAGAGGUCUCAAGCGUUGUUCGGAUUCAUUGGGCGUAAAGGGUGUGUAGGUGGCGCGCUAAGUCGGGUGUGAAAUUUCGGAGCUUAACUCCGAAACUGCAUUCGAUACUGGCGUGCUUGAGGACUGGAGAGGAGACUGGAAUUCAUGGUGUAGCAGUGAAAUGCGUAGAGAUCAUGAGGAAGACCAGUGGCGAAGGCGGGUUGCUGGGCUGACACUGACGCUGAGGCGCGAAAGCUAGGGGAGCGAACGGG
RNAcentral lists this ribosomal RNA (253 nucleotides) under uncultured bacterium. RNAcentral's name for it is "partial 16S ribosomal RNA". It matches the Rfam family "Bacterial small subunit ribosomal RNA", at positions 524 to 776 of the family's 1533-position model. The record is from RNAcentral.